UCCAGACUCCUACGGGAGGCAGCAGUGGGGAAUAUUGGGCAAUGGGGGAAACCCUGACCCAGCGACGACGCGUGAGGGGAGAAGGUUUUCGGAUUGUAAACCUCUGUCCUUGGUGACGAUAAUGACGGUAGCCAAGGAGGAAGCCACGGCUAACUACGUGCCAGCAGCCGCGGUAAUACGUAGGGGGCGAGCGUUAUCCGGAUUCACUGGGUGUAAAGGGAGCGUAGACGGCCAUGCAAGCCAGGGGUGAAAGCCCGGGGCCCAACCCCGGGACUGCCCUUGGAACUGCAUGGCUGGAGUGCGGGAGGGGCAGGCGGAAUUCCUGGUGUAGCGGUGAAAUGCGUAGAUAUCAGGAGGAACACCGGCGGCGAAGGCGGCCUGCUGGACCGCGACUGACGUUGAGGCUCGAAAGCGUGGGGAGCAAACAGGAUUAGAUACCCGAGUA
This 445-nucleotide ribosomal RNA is filed under the name uncultured bacterium. RNAcentral describes it as "bacterial SSU rRNA". It matches the Rfam family "Bacterial small subunit ribosomal RNA", at positions 330 to 792 of the family's 1533-position model. The record is from RNAcentral.